This 1057-nucleotide long non-coding RNA is filed under the name Felis catus (domestic cat). Its description in RNAcentral is "lncRNA (ENSFCAG00000043379.2)". The record is from RNAcentral. Lineage: Eukaryota; Metazoa; Chordata; Mammalia; Carnivora; Felidae.
AUUUUGCACUUGUUUUUCCUUAAUGAUACAUGAUGUUGAGUAGCUUUUGAUGCAUUCAUUGACCAUUUGGAAACUAGAAAUAAAUUAUAUUUAUUGACCUUUCUGCAAAUUAGGAAAAAGCCUCCAUUUAUCAAGAUGCCCCAAAGCCGUCUUCUGGGAAAACUGUCACAAAAACCUUACAUAUCUACAAUGACUUGAAGGUUCAUGACAGUGUCUGGGGAUGUCUGGUGCCCAACCUGAUGUGCGCAGUGAACCGUAGUCCCUGAUAGACACCACUGCAGACAUUAAAGAAAGUGACAGAAAAUCUUGGGAUGUCUGAGCCACUGCCAGACGGCGACAGAUCUCGCAAGACCUGCCUCCCCUCUCAUCUCUCAGGAACUCAGCUGAUUGAAGGAAGCCACCUGUUCCCAGGCCGCCGCCGCUCCCUGUAAUCAAGAAAUAACCACGCUGGGGAGAAAUAUCUCUUUGUUGGUUCUGUUUCCGUCUUAUGUGGACUCUGACAACAGAGCACAUGUCAUAUUCUCUAAACACCUUCUCAGACUGUCAGCCGGAGAGGUUAAACUGAACCAUUUCUUUUUUGCUUCAUGCUCAAGGAGACCUGCGACACCUAAUUUUAAGACUUUGCUAAGCAGACACCCAUGUAGAGGUACGUAACGAUUUUUCAUUUGAGACCAGUACCCAUGUAGUUAGAAGAAUCUUUUACUUCUCAGGAAAGCAAUUAGUAGUAACAUUAAAUCCAAAGGUCCUUUUUAUUUUUCUUUUUUAAUAACAAGAGUUUUUGCCGUGCUCUUUCUGUUUGAAACUACACUCAGUGCUCUGCAAUUUAUGUUUUAGCUUCCAUAAUGUUAGCGAGAUAUUAAUAUAUGCAUGAAGAGUUGCAGUGAACGUAAUUACAGUGGCAAAGUGAUAAACACAAAGCUAUUCUGCCUGGUAAUAUUAUGUAUUUAACAGGUUUAUUUGUUCAACAGUUUUAACUUUAAUUAUGUUUUGCCAUUUGGGAUUUUUAGACAUGUAGCCAUCAUAGCCCUUCUCUGGCUAUUAGUCUAAGAAGAUUGCA